RNAcentral lists this ribosomal RNA (465 nucleotides) under uncultured bacterium. RNAcentral describes it as "partial 16S ribosomal RNA". It matches the Rfam family "Bacterial small subunit ribosomal RNA", at positions 28 to 507 of the family's 1533-position model. The record is from RNAcentral.
GACGAACGCUGGCGGCGUGCUUAACACAUGCAAGUCGAACGGAAAGGCCCCUUUGGGGGUACUCGAGUGGCGAACGGGUGAGUAACACGUGAGUAACCUGCCCUUGACUUCGGGAUAACUUCAGGAAACUGGGGCUAAUACCGGAUAGGAAUCCUUGCUGCAUGGUGGGGGUUGGAAAGCUUCGGCGGUUUUGGAUGGACUCGCGGCUUAUCAGCUUGUUGGUGGGGUAGUGGCUUACCAAGGCUUUGACGGGUAGCCGGCCUGAGAGGGCGACCGGCCACAUUGGGACUGAGAGACGGCCCAGACUCCGACGGGAGGCAGCAGGGGGGAAGAUUGCACAAUGGGCGGAAGCCGGAUGCAGCAACGCCGCGUGCGGGAUGACGGCCUUCGGGUUGGAAACCGCUUUCAGCAGGGGCGAAGCUUGUGGUGACGGUACCUGCAGAAGAAGCACCGGCUAACUACGUG